CCUGAGUGAGAAUCUAGAAUUAAGGAUGUUGUUCUAGAACCCUGACUGAGAAUCUAGAAUUAAGGAUGUUGUUCUAGAACCCUGACUGAAGCUUUACGAUUGAAGAUGGUGCUCUAGAACCCUGACUGAAGCUUUACGAUUGAAGAUGGUGCUCUAGAACCCUGACUGAAGCUUUACGAUUGAAGAUGGUGCUCUAGAACCCUAACUGAAGCUCUAAAACUAUAGGAUGUUGUUCUAGAACCCUGACUGAAGCUCUAAAACUGAGGAUGUUGUUCUAGAACCCUGACUGAAGCUCUAGAAUUGAGGAUGUUGUUAUAGAACCCUGACUGAAGCUCUAGAAUUGAGGAUGCUGUUUUAGAACCCUGACUGAAAAUCUAGAAUUGAGAAUGUUGUUUUAGAACCCUGACUGAAGCUCUAGAAUUAAGGAUGUUCUAGAACCCUGACUGAAGCUCUAGAAUAGAGAAAGUUGUUCUAGAACCCUGACUGAAGCUCUAGAAUUGA
This 501-nucleotide long non-coding RNA is filed under the name Astyanax mexicanus (Mexican tetra). RNAcentral's name for it is "lncRNA (ENSAMXG00005009609.1)". Lineage: Eukaryota; Metazoa; Chordata; Actinopteri; Characiformes; Acestrorhamphidae. The record is from RNAcentral.